AGUGAACGCUGGCGGUAGGCCUAACACAUGCAAGUCGAACGGCAGCACAGUAAGAGCUUGCUCUUACGGGUGUCGAGUGGCGGACGGGUGAGGAAUACAUCGGAAUUUACUUUUUCGUGGGGGAUAACGUAGGGAAACUUACUCUAAUACCGCAUACGACCUACGGGUGAAAGCAGGUGAUCUUUGGACCUUGCGCGAUUGAAUGAGCCGAUGUCGAAUUAGCUAGUUGGGGGGGUAAAGGCGCACAAAGGCGACGAUCCGUAGCUGGUCUGAGAGGAUGAUCAGCCACACUGGAACUGAACCACGGUCCAGACUCCUACGGAAGGCAGCAGUGGGGAAUAUUGGACAAUGAACGCAAGCCUAAUCCAGCAAUACCGCGUAGGUAAAGAAGGUCUUCGGUUUGUAAAGCCCUUUUGUUGAGAAAAAAAAGCAGCAGAUUAAUACCCCGCUGUUCUGACGGUACCCAAAGAAUAAGCACCGGCUAACUUCGUG
RNAcentral lists this ribosomal RNA (492 nucleotides) under uncultured bacterium. RNAcentral's name for it is "partial 16S ribosomal RNA". It matches the Rfam family "Bacterial small subunit ribosomal RNA", at positions 29 to 507 of the family's 1533-position model. The record is from RNAcentral.